GGCACUUAAAACCUUGAUUAUAAAAUACUUCUACAAAAUUACAAUUUUAUUUAAGGUUAUAAUAGGACAUUAGGCCACCGUUUGGUUCGGGGUUAAGUAAAAACUUGUUAUUCCAGGAAUAGAGUUAAGUUCGGGGUUAAGAUGGGGUUAGAGUAAUUUUGUGUUUGGUUGAGAAUUGGGUUUAGUCCAGGUAUAGAUAAAAUAGUAUUUGGUUGGAGUAGGUGGGAUAAGAAGGAUAGUGGGUAAAAUAGUAUUUUGUUUGGUUGGAGUAGUGGGGUGGGGUGGGGUUAGCUAAUCCCACCCCCGAAAUUGGGUGUUUGGGAAUAAUUUCGGGGUUAAGGAGUUAUUCCACCUCUUAAUCCUGAACCAAAUGGGUGCUAGAGGAGUGGUGCCCCGUGGACAGGGUGCAUACAAUAAUUUCUAAGUAAAAUGGAUUGAUGAUGAAUCUGGGAAAAAGUUGGUAUGUUUCUGUUGUUGUGGCAUCAGCAAGGGAAAUUCCAAUGCAGAAACUUUGAUUAUUCAACUGUUGCAUUUUUCUCCCUAACCGCAGUUAGUGCGUCGGCAGAACAUAAAGUGGCCAAAGCCGAACAGUUUGAAGGAGGCCUGAAGUGCAGCCUCCUUCAGCUGAAACCGGGCCAAACAUGGCCAUAAAUGGGUGUGAUAUACAUAAAUCCUUUCUUCUAGCAAUGUCAUUUAAAAGCGACUCAAUUGGGUGUGCAAGACAAGAUAUUUUCUAUCAAAAAGAGCUUCUUUUCUCUGAUAAAGUAUGUUGGUUUACAUAGCUUUUAAAUUGCUAAUCCUCUAUUCAUCUGACAAUUAUUUAUUGGCAGCUUUUGGUUUUACUUUUAAGCAUGAGUUUCUGGAAGUUGAAAAUGGUAGUCAGUCCUAUUUGAACUUGUGAAAGUAAUGCUUAGGUUGUGUGAUACAUUUUAAUGUUGGAUAUCAAACUCUUUAUUCAAUGUUUACUGGACCGGUUUAAAAUGUUUGCGAAAGUAUAGGCAUCAGUCUUAGCACCUAAUUUCUCCGUUGGAAAUUUGUUGUUUUAGUCUUGCAUUCAACAUCUCUAUGAAGAGAGUCAAUAGUAGCCCUAGAAAUUGGUGCAACUUAGCUAGAAAAUGAUAAUCUUUUUGACAAUACUUUUGAUAAUCCUUCUAUGUCACAGAGAAUAAAUAUUUGCUCUUAUUGGUCUUGAUUACUUAUUAUCCUGAAUGGAAUUUCAGGUAUGCUGUGGAGAAUUACUUGCUCCUUUCAUUUUAAGUGUCAGAUCAAAACACUAGGGAAAUGCUUUUCUAUUUAGCUCUUCUGUUAAGAACUAUAGUUCUUUAUACUAGGCAAACAGUGCUUUUUGUACAGAGCUAUCUAAGCUGGACUGGCCAUCAUAAAUUAUGAAUGAUGCUGUUAAUUAUGUAUAGCACAAAUUUCAAUUCACAUUUGUCUCCAUCUUGCUGGAAGUCUCAUUGAGGCUAUGGGAUUGCAAUACGGAAGUAAAAUUUGCAUGAAAUAUAUGCUCGUGAUUAUUGUAGGGCUGAGUUUCAAAACAGCAUAUAUGAAAAAUUUCAAUUUAUUCCAAUAAAAUAUAAAACUGUUUUUCUUUUCAUUUCAUAAUGCAGGUCGCACUGGUGAUAGAACCUAAAGAUAAGGAAUCUACCUCGAUGUACAAGCAAGCUCUAGACCUACUUACUCAAGCUUUAGAAGUCUGGCCAAAUGCCAAUGUUAAGUUCAAUUAUUUGGAGAAGUUGCUUGGAAAUCUAACACCUUCCCAGUCUAAGGACCCAGCAACGGCUCUUGCUCAGGGCCUUGAUGUCAUGAACAAAGUUUUGGAGAAGCAGCCCCGUCUUUUCAUCCGGAAUAACAUUAAUCACAUUUCUCAGGUAUGCUAGAUUUGCUGUACUCUUGUGCUAUACAUUAAUGAAGUAAUAAUGAGCUAGUCACUUCAUUCAUUUGGGAAAUUUUAUAUUUUUAGAUACUAGAGCCCUGCUUCAAUAAUAAGAUGAUGGAUGCUGGAAAGUCGCUUUGUUCCUUACUGAAAAUGGUCGUCAGUGCUUUUCCGGUUGAAGCUACUACUACGCCGCAGGAAGUAAAGAUGUUAUAUCAAAGAGUUGCCGAGCUCAUUCAAAAGCAUCUGGCUGCUGUGACAACUCCUCAGAUAUCACUUGAAGUUAGCAAUGCCAACUCUAUCAUAAGCUUUUCUCUUUUUAUUCUUAAAUCCCUUGCAGAAGUACAGAAGAACUUUGUUGAUCCGUUCAUUCCUUUACUGCUCCGAGUCCUCCAACGCCUUGCACGAGACAUGGGAUCUUCUGCUGGUUCUCAUAUUAGACAAGUAUGGCUUUUAUCUACUUUGUGGAGUGUAUUAAUUUUCUUCUGGUAGAAUUUUUUUUUUUUUUUUUUUGGUUCUGGUUCCUUUUCCUGUGGUAGUAUGUAAUUUCACUUCUCAAUAUUUAUGUUAUGUGACUUAACAAAUUACUUGUUUCUUUUUCCUUGCGUAACUAAUGGUUUACAUAAGUAAAUUGUUAAAGUUGCCUAAUUGCUGUCUAGUGAUGUAUGGAUUUCCCUGUUCGAUAUUUUCUCUCCUGAUAUCGUAAUCACAAUGUGCUUUAAAUAAUGUCAUGACUUUAACGUUGUUUCUCCACUUCAUUAGUAGCUGUUCGCAGUAUUGGGGUUUCUUUAUGAUGCCUGAGCUUAUAUUAACAUUUUUUUUACAUUCCUUAAUCAUCUAUAAUGAUUAAAUUUUUUUUUCCCCUGUAUCGUUGCAUAGAUCUUAUGUGUUUUUUAUUUCCAUUUUCCUUUUUUAGGCGCAGAGGGCUGAUAUAGAUUCCUCAGCCAGUUCACGUGCCACAGCUGACUCUUCUACCAUCAUUUCUAACAUGAAAUGCCUCUUACAACUAAUUAGCGAAAGGGUCAUGCAAUCAGCUGAAUAUAAACGGCAAAUAGGCCAAAUUCUUCAUGCUCUUCUUUCAGAGAAAGGGACAGACACCAGUGUGCUUUUGUGCAUACUCGAUACAGUAAAGAAAUGGAUUGAGGAUGACUAUAAGCUUGCUCCUUCUGGUGCUUCAUCUGCAACUCUUACUCAGAAGGAGAUAGUAUCUUAUCUUCAGAAGCUAUCACUAGUUGACAGGAAAAACUUCACUCCUGCUGCACUAGAAGAGUGGGAUGAGAAGUAUUUGCAGCUUCUAUAUGGAGUUUGUGCCGAUUCAACCAAGUAAGUGCUUAGCUUAUUGCAAUAGAUUUUUAUUGGGUGUACAUACAAGCCUUACCUGAAUCAUAGCAUUAUGAAAGGCUACCUAACUAGUAGAAUUUUGAUUUCGCUCCGCUCCCUCAGCUUCUAUUGCUUUUGAACUUUUGGGAAUUCCAUCAAAUUCUGUUGGAGCUUAGAGGUCUGACAAAAAAUUAUAUUUAACAUUCUUUAUCAAGUUAGAGAAUAUUUUGUUAGAUAAAGGUCACUUAAUAUUCAGUCAAAAAAGAUAGAAAUACAUUGUUUUUUUUUUUAACAAGGUCAGAUGGUUGUUUGAAGAUGGAUUGUUGUUCAAUUAGAAAAGGGUUGGUGCUUCUAGGUUUUUAGCCCUUGGAUCAAGGCUUGUGGAGUUAGGAUGAUAUCAAUCCUCCUGGGUUUAAUGGUGAUUGGUAGGAUAUCAUGGAUCCAAAGAAGGUUUGAUCUAAUGGUGAAAAAGUUAGAACCACGAAAUGGGUUUUACUUCUAGAUGUAUUCUAGCUCACCACUGUCACUUCCCCCUCCCUCGGCGGCCAGAGAGACUUCUAUAUGACUAUGAGUACGGUCAACUUCAUACUCAUAAGUCUUCGAUGAUAGAGCUUUCAAAUCGACGAUCUAUACUGUUUGACAUGAUUUAGAGCAUCCAAACCUUCUAGAAAUCAAAUUUCAAGAUUUUUUCACGUCAUUUACCUUACGAUCAAAAGGCCUCUAAAUUUACAAUUUUAGCAGUCGAUACGAGACAUUUUUACAUUUAAUAGUAUGGUAUAAUUGGCUUGAUUGAAUGUUUUAUAGAAAAUUCUAUUCCCUAUCUAUAUCGAGAUCAGUAACUCUCAUCUUAAAUCAAAGAUUCUUAUAUUUUUAGAAUAUCAAUUGGUUUGACUAUUCAAUGUAUCCACUUGAUGGACUUGAUAAUUAUCUUUGUAAAACAUGAAAUUCGGUUUGAGGAUACUUCAAAUGCUCUAAACAAGGAUUUGAAUGCCUAUUGGCACAAGCCGUAUCUACCAUACCGUAUCGUGCCAUUAAGAUAUAAGUACGAUGCAAUUCCCGUACCGAUGACAUGACUUAGAACUCUCUUUUUUAAAAAUUAGUAAGUAUUUUCUCAAUAAAGUUCAAAAGAUUUGAUAAAAAUGUAUAAUAAACAAUUAGGAUAUUUUGCUGCUAAAGAAAAUAAAUAUUGUAUGUCAUUUUAUGUCGGCACACAUUUUUUGUGACCGGUACGCAUCGGCAUAGCCCGGCACGCACCAUGCCGUAUCUUGCUUGCAAGUUUUCGGUAUGACCUCAUGCCAUGAUACAUAAAUCCCUAGAUCUAGAUCAUAUUUAACAAUUUUAUUCUCCGUACUUCAAAGGUUCCAUCCAAAAUGACUUAUCAGUACGAAAGCCUUUGUACUCAUAAGAGUAUGGUAGCUCUACUUUCUCUCUCUCUCUCUCUCUCUCUAUUACUUCUAAAGUACGUAAAUAGUGCAUGGUAUAGACUUUUGGGCUCUUCGGCCCAUGCUAGUGCAACCACCAUAUAGUAAACCAUAGAUAUCCAAGGGUUUAAAAAGUUGGACUAUUCAUGUGCUAUUGGAAAUCUAGCUAGGCCAUAUAUAUAUAGAGAGAGAGAGAGAGAGAGAGAGAGGAGGGAGGAGGGAGGGACGGAGGGAGGGGAGACUAUAUACGCGCGAGAGAGAGAGAGAGAGAGAGAGAGAGAGAGAGAGAGAGAGAGAGAGUAUAUAUGAGAGAGAGAGAGAGAGACUAUAUGCUUUUAGAAGUAUGGAGGCUUUCGUGCUUUCACUUUGUUUCGAUGAGGAGACAUCUGAAUCAACGAUCGGCUCCAUUAGACUUGAUCUACACUAUUUGAAAUAUAUUGAAACUUAAUUUCGUGAUUUUUCGAUAUCUGCUAUAUUGUGAUCGAAAGGUCCAAAAUGAAAGUUUGAAAAUAAAAAUCACAUAAAAGCAAUGAUAGAAGACAAAUUUUAGACCAAACGUACUAAUAUUACUUUAGAUAGUAAGAUUUUUUUUUUAAAUUUCACGCAAUUUGGAUAAUUUUACACCGUUAAACUUGUAAUUGCCUCAUAUUGACCAUUAAAAUAGAUGAAUUUUGAGACCUUUCUAUCACAAGGUCAAUGAUAUCGAGAAGUCAUGAAAUUUAGUUUCUAGAUAUUCCAAAAAGUGUAGAUCAAGUCUCACUGAGCUAAUUGUUGAUUCAAAAGUCCCAUUAUUGAAAACAAAGUGGAAGUACGGAAGCCUCCACGCUUCUAAAAGCAUAGUAGCCUCUCUCUCUCUCUCUCUCUCUCUCUCUCUCUCUCUCUCUAUAUAUAUAUAUAUAUAUAUAUAUAUAUAUAUAUUGCUUUCUCACUUUCUCAGGGAAAAGGUCUGUGUGAUUUUACCUUGUAAUAUUGAGUAUAUUAAUAUUUUUGCUUGUCUUAUAACUUUUAUGCUACCAGGUUUCCAUUGACCCUUCGCCAAGAAGUAUUUCAAAAGGUUGAAAGGCAAUUCAUGCUUGGGCUACGAGCGAAGGAUCCAGAAGUUAGACAGCGGUUCUUCAUGCUUUACCAUGAAUCCCUUGGAAAAACCUUAUUUGCGAGGCUUCAGUUUAUCAUUCAAAUUCAGGACUGGGAAGCUGUAAGUGAUGUUUUCUGGCUGAAGCAGGGUCUUGAUCUUAUCUUGGCUAUCUUAGUAGAGAAUGAGCCGAUCACUCUUGCCCCAAAUUCCGCACGAGUACCUCCACUAAUGGUACGGGGAGUUGGUCCGGAACGUUCGCCAAUGCAGCAGCAGCAGCAGGCAACUGAUCCAGCAGAUUGUUCAGACGGUGCUUCACUUUCAUUUGACUCUCUUACAGCAAAGCAUGCCCAAUUCUUAACUGAGAUGUGCAAGCUUCAGGUGAGUUGGCUCUUCUCUGAAUUUAUGCCACAAUAAAUACUUCAAGGUAGGGAAAAGAAAAGAGGAUUUUACAUAUAAUUGCAAAAUCUGAAUUCUACAUAUAAUUGCAAAAUCUGUAAAGUGCAGCUUAGAAAAAAUUACCUCAUCUUAAGUUGGUGAGUCAUCCAAUAUAUUUGGGUGAGCUGGUUUUGUAUUACAAGAAUAGGAUUGGACAGGGUUGGAUUGGAUUGGAUUGGAUAUAUACAAUUCUAAUCUUACGUUAGGUGAAACAGUGGUUUAGGGAUUAUAUAAACUAAUUCUAUUCCUAUGUUUGGUGUACUGAGAGAGAAUAUGGAUUGGACUAUUUUUUAUGAACUCUCCCUCUUACCGUCCUAUCCAGCUCCCCCCUGCCCCUAUCCCUCACUCAUUGGCAAUGGUAGCAAAGCCUAUGCCAACUUCUUAGUAAAUGCUGCUUAUUCUCACUGGAUUCCGCAAAUCUUGUCUAUUAUCUUUUUUGUAAAAUUGUAGAAUAACCCUCAAUUAUUGAAAAUUGUGAAACAGAUCCCUUAGGUUUUACCUUUUUUUAUUGGAAUCCUCUCAAUUUUCUAAUUAUUUGAAAUAAAUGAUUUUAGGCAGAAAAAUUUGAGAGUUCUCUCAAAUCAAUAAAUAAUUUUAUCAAAUGUAUUAACUCUAAUUUUGUUAGUAAAUAAAAUUAAACUAAUUAAAGUUUAAUAAUUAACUAUAACAAUUUAAAUAAGAAAAUUUAGAAGUUGAGAGGGAGAGCAUCUUAAUUAAAAAAAAAAGUUCAGGGGUCUAUCUAAAUUUACUUAUGUUCUCCAUAAAUUUUUACCUAUCCUUUUCGGAGUUUUUUGGGCUACUAAGCCUACAACACCUUUUAAAUAUAAAAAUAGGUAUCCAAAUUUUUAUUUAUAAAUAUAGGUUGAUAAACGCAGUGAAUCAUUUACCGCUUUCUAAAAGCGGCGAAUGAUUCACCGCUUUUACCCUAAUUUAUAUAUUUCCUACAUCCAAAUUUCAAAAGAUGUAUGGUAUUAAACACUACAAAUAGCUUUAAUUCUUUGAAGAAAGCGGUGAAUGAAUUAUCGCAUUUAGAAAGUGGCAAUUCAUUCACCGUAUAGGCCUAGUUUUGUAAAUAAAUUUUGUAGAGGACUAUUUUAUAAUUAUAGUAUUUUCGAAGUCUAUUAAUAAAAAAAAUUCAUCCUUUUCUCUCCUAAAUUCUCGUUCUUGUCACCUUCUCUUCCCUCUGCUUCUUCUUCUUCUUCUGCUUGUCUCCUCCCGCCAUGGAUGAUGAAGUGAGGGGGGAGGACAAAGCGAGUCGGGGAGAGCGAUAGAGAGAGAGAGAUCACUGCAUCUUAGGUUAGGGUUUGGGAGGAGUCAGGGAGAGCGUUGUGAGGGAUCGUGUUGGGUGAGAGGAUUGGGUUAUUCCAAUCCCAUCUAAUCCCCUCUGUUUCGAUGGGAUGAGUCAGUCCCAUGUGAGCUGGCCAAAUUGACUGGACCGGGUUUGCGUAUCCAAUCUGGUAUAAGUCCAAACAUCGGAUCAGUUUAAGUUUGGAAUUAUUAUCAAUCCAAUCCCAAUCCCACGCUCCAAACAUGCCCUUAGGGUAUGUGCAAACAACUAAGCUUUUGAAGGGCAUAUCUGAAAAUUCAGAUUUUGCAGGUAUUAUGUAUAUAAAUAGAUAAUUUCUAGGGGUACAUGUGUCAUUAUCUCAAUAAUGAACAGAAACACUUCAGGCUGACCUUUUAAAUUAAUCCACCAUACGUACUGGCUAAAGCUGUAUGCUAUUCUCUCAUGUUUGCAGGUUGCCGAUCUUGUGAUUCCCUUGAGGGAACUUGCAUAUACAGAUGCCAAUGUUGCAUACCACAUCUGGGUCUUAGUCUUCCCUAUUGUUUGGGUUACUCUACAGAAAGAAGAACAAGUGGCAUUGGCUAAGCCAAUGAUUGCUCUUUUGUCGAAAGAUUACCACAAAAGGCAGCAAGGAAGCAGACCUAAUGUCGUGCAAGCUCUUCUCGAAGGGCUUCACCUGAGCCACCCUCAACCUCGAAUGCCAAGUGAGCUCAUCAAAUACAUAGGUAAAACAUUUAAUGCAUGGCAUAUCUCCCUGGCGCUUCUGGAGAACCACGUUAUGCUCUUCAUGAAUGAGGCCAAAUGUUCUGAAUCACUAGCUGAGCUUUAUCGGCUUCUUAAUGAAGAAGACAUGAGGUGUGGGUUAUGGAAGAGAAGAUCGAUCACUGCCGAAACAAGAGCUGGGCUUUCGCUAGUCCAGCAUGGUUAUUGGCAGCGAGCUCAAAGUCUCUUCUAUCAGGCGAUGAUCAAGGCAACACAGGGCACGUAUAAUAACACUGUUCCGAAAGCAGAAAUGUGCCUUUGGGAAGAGCAGUGGCUUUCCUGCGCAUCUCAGUUAAGCCAGUGGGAUGUCUUGGCUGAUUUUGGCAAAAGUGUGGAAAAUUAUGAAAUUUUGCUCGAUUGCCUUUGGAAAGUACCUGACUGGGCAUAUAUGAAGGAGAAUGUGAUCCCUAAAGCUCAGGUUGAGGAGACACCUAAGUUGCGUUUAGUGCAGGCCUUCUUUUCUCUUCACGAUCGAAAUGCCAAUGGUGUUGGCGACAUAGUUUCAAAGGGUGUUGAGCUUGCGCUAGAAAAUUGGUGGCAAUUGCCUGAAAUGUCUGUCCAGUCAAGAAUGCCUCUACUACAACAGUUUCAGCAGCUAGUUGAAGUACAAGAGUCAGCUAGAAUACUUGUGGAUAUUGCAAAUGGGAACAAACAACCUUCAGGAAAUUCGGGUUCCAAUUCUCACAAUGCCUUCGCUGAUCUCAAGGAUAUCCUCGAGACAUGGAGACUACGGACUCCGAAUGAGUGGGAUAAUAUGACUAUCUGGUAUGAUCUACUCCAAUGGAGGAAUGAGAUGUACAAUGCUGUAAUAGAUGCAUUUAAGGACUAUGCUCAAACAAAUCCUCAACUUCAUCAUCUGGGUUAUCGAGACAAGGCUUGGAAUGUGAAUAAGCUCGCCCACAUAGCUCGCAAGCAAGGACUCCAUGAUGUCUGUGUAUCUAUACUUGAUAAGAUGUAUGGACAUUCUACCAUGGAAGUUCAGGUCAUUAUUCAUUUAUGUCAUCCUUAUUCCACUAUUAGAUUUCAUUCGAUUAGUUCCUGUUGUAUUUAUGUUUGCCAUCUGCUUACAGGAAGCUUUUGUUAAAAUAAGAGAACAAGCGAAGGCUUAUUUGGAAAUGAAAGGCGAACUCAUUAGUGGGCUUACUUUAAUUAACAAUACAAAUCUUGACUACUUCCCUGUGAAGCAUAAAGCAGAAAUAUUUCGUCUCAAAGGCGACUUUUUGCUAAAGAUGAAUGAUUGUGAGAAUGCAAAUAUUGCUUAUUCCAAUGCAAUAAGCCUUUACAAACAUUUGCCAAAAGGGUGGAUCAGCUGGGGAAACUAUUGCGAUAUGGUAUGUUGCAAUUUGUCCUACCUAAACAAUUUCUUCAUGUACUUCAAGAAUAGUUUAGGUAUACAAGUAUCUCCUUUUUGCAGAUUUAUAAAGAAACACAUGAAGAGGUAUGGUUGGAAUAUGCCGUCAGCUGCUUCUUCCAAGGCAUCAAGUAUGGCGUGUCAAACUCAAGGGGCCAUCUAGCUCGAAUUUUAUAUCUUCUUAGCUUUGAUACGCCGAAUGAAACCGUGGGAAGGGCAUUGGAUAAAUAUCUUGACCAAUUGCCUCAUUGGGUUUGGCUUUCAUGGAUACCACAGCUACUGCUCUCCUUGCAGCGAAGUGAAGCACCGCACUGCAAGCUAGUUCUUUUAAAGAUUGCUCAAGUUUAUCCACAGGUACAUAAAAUUAUCCGGAGGUUGCGUCGUUGUCUGCUUAUUAUCUCCUAUUUAAAAAAACUAAUACCCCUCUUUUGUAGGCCUUAUAUUAUUGGCUACGCACGUAUUUAAUGGAGCGACGUGAUGUUACUCAUAAAGCUGAAUAUGGAAGAAAUUUUGCCCUGGCCCAACGCAUGCAGCAAGCUGCAUCAGUAAACAGUGCUGGCUCUCAAAACUUGGUUGAUGGGAAUGCCAGAGCCCCUAAUCAUCUUAGCAGCGGUAACUUAACGCCUGAAAGCCAGGUUCACCAAGGAGGGGCCCAGUCGGCAGGUGGUUCUAGCGGCCCUCAUGAAGGAGGGAACUCUCAAGGGCAAGAGACUGAGAGGUCUGCGGCUGAAGGAGGUGCUGGUACUACUAGCCAUGAUCAACCUCCACAGAGCUCAGUUGCUUCAGAAGGAAGCCAAAUUCCUUUGAGACGGAGUGGCGGCGCUGGUGCUCUUUCUUGGGUUGCUGCUGCUGCUAGUGCCUUCGAGGCUGCGAAGGACAUAAUGGAGGCUCUUAGAAACAAGCACAAUAAUUUGGCUAACGAGCUUGAGGUAAGAAAUUGCAUGGCAGUUGCUAACUACCGCUGCAAGAACAGAAUGCAAACGAUUUUUCCAGAUUUGUUUAUAAGAUAGGUCAUCAUUUUUGCUUGUUUCCUAUUUAGUAUCUUGUAGCAUGUGUGUAAAGUCCAGGUAUUAGCUGUGCAAAUUUGUAGAGGAUGAAUGUGGAACUUGUAGGAGUCUGACUAGCUGAAAUAAGAUGUAUCCUAACUUGUUAUAGUCAUUAAUUAAUUGAGAGGAGUUGGGGUAUCCUAUUGAGCUAUAAUUACUGUUUUUGAGGUUAAUAAGCUUCUGUCCAGAAGUUCUUGGCCUAUAAUUUAUAUACAAGAGAUCUGUUAACUUCUGGUCUAUAUUUUUCUAAUAAAGAAGAUCUAUUCUUUGUCAUUUGCCUAACAGUUUUUGCUUGGCCGGAAAUUAUUGUCUGUUUCCUGUACUAAAUAACUUGGUUAAGCUUUUAUUCUUACAGAGUUUUCUUUUUAUUUCUCUUUUCCUCCAGUAUUUACUUUCUGAAAUUGGUUCGAGAUUUGUCACUCUUCCUGAGGAACGGCUCUUGGCUGUGGUCAAUGCAUUGCUGCACCGAUGCUACAAGUAUCCAACAGCCACCACUGGUGAGGUCCCACAAUCUCUGAAGAAGGAGCUCUCUGGCGUUUGCCGAGCCUGUUUUUCACAAGAUGCCGUGAACAAGCAUGUCGACUUCGUGAAGGAAUAUAAGCAGGACUUUGAGCGUGAUCUCGAUCCUGAAAGCACAGCUACUUUCCCAGCUACUCUGGCUGAAUUGACGGAACGAUUAAAGCACUGGAAGAAUGUUCUCCAGAGCAAUGUUGAAGACAGGUUCCCUGCUGUCUUGAAACUCGAAGAAGAGAGUAAAGUAUUGCGUGAUUUUCAUGUGGUUGAUGUGGAGGUUCCGGGACAGUAUUUCACUGACCAGGUCUAGUCAAAAUAGUCUUCAUCAGUAUUCUUUCAUAUACCCAUGGAAAAUCAUCUAGUUAUGUAUAUAAUUCCAUAUAGAAUAUGGAUAGACAAAUAGGCUCUUAGAUAACUUUUAACUUCUUAAAUGCACCUUUCUUCUCACCAAAUUGUUGAUCUUUUAAAAAGUUCUUUCAAGUCCACAUAACCAACACUCUCCAAGGAUUGGAUGUCUCUCUGACUUAAGGGUAUUUUGUAAGAAACUACAUUUGAGGGGCAUACAUGAAAAUUCUCUAUUUUACUGGUGCUUGUUUGCAACUAAAUGAUAUUGUGCUGAUAUACUCGUAUAUGCAAAGUCCCUUUUUGGGCUGUUGAAAUUGUCUUCGAAGUAUAUAUUCUGAUUUAUGACUGUACUUCCCAGGAAGUUGCACCUGACCAUACCAUAAAGUUAGACAGAGUAGGCCCGGAUAUUCCAAUUGUACGGAGACAUGGGAGUAGCUUCCGGCGAUUGACGCUCAUAGGCUCUGAUGGUUCUCAGCGACAUUUUAUUGUUCAGACCUCCUUAACUCCGAAUGCUAGAAGUGAUGAACGUAUGCUCCAGCUAUUCCGGGUGCUGAACAAGAUGUUUGAUAAACACAAGGAAGCAAGGCGGCGCCAUUUGACUAUCCACACUCCAAUAAUAAUUCCUGUUUGGUCACAGGUGAAGUGAAAUUGUCUUUUCUUUUCUCCGUUUCUCUUUUACUGCUAAACGUUAGCUUUUGGUUUAUUGUUUCCCUGUCUUCUAAGUAGUAGCUUUUGCAAAACCAUCUAAGUAUAUAAUUUUUCAGAAUCUUAAAUUUUUUAUGUCCUUUGUAGACUUGAUUCCUCACAUACACACAGAUGCACAAGAAUACAAACAUAUACACACAUUAAAAGCUUUUUCAAUAUGUAAUCAUCUUCCCCUAUGAGUUGGAUUGCUCCCUGCCACUUCUUUUGGGUAAGAAGCUUCUUUCUUUGAGGGGUAUAUAGGUUCAGGUUUUACAGGAGAUAUUUUCAAGAAGAUGAUUUUGGCAGUAUAUAUUUGCAAAAUCCUGUUAGCGUUUCUCUCGUCCUCCUGUCUGUUAAAGUUAUCGAAUAGCAAACUAUUUUGUUCAGGUUCGGAUGGUGGAGGAUGAUGUGAUGUAUAGCACAUUCCUCGAGGUGUACGAGAUUAAUUGUGCACGCCACAACCGGGAAGCUGAUACGCCUAUCACUAAUUUCAAGGAACAGCUCAACCAAGCCAUCUCAGGGCAAUACCCACCUGAAGAAAUAGUAAAUCUACGUCUACAGGCGUAUAACGAAAUAACAAAGAAUGUUGUCAAUGACAAUGUCUUCUCUCAGUACAUGUACAAAACUCUACCAAGUGGGAACCACCUCUGGACCUUCAAGAAGCAAUUUGCCAUCCAGCUGGCACUUUCAUGCUUUAUGUCGUACAUGCUGCAGAUUGGUGGAAGGUCCCCAAACAAGAUCCUGUUUGCUAAGAACACUGGAAAGAUAUUCCAGACUGAUUUUCAUCCAGGUAUUGUUUAGUAAGCAUAGUAUGUUUAUCCUAGUGGAGCCCUUAUUUCCAAUCUUUAGCAGAUUUUUCAUUUUAUUUUUUAUUUUUUUUGUCAGCUUAUGAUCCGAAUGGAAUGAUUGAGUUCAACGAACCAGUUCCGUUUAGAUUGACGCGUAACAUGCAAGCUUUCUUUUCACAUUUUGGCGUCGAGGGCCUUAUUGUCUCUGCCAUGUGUGCUGCAGCUCAGUCUGUAGUUUCACCUAAAGUGAGUCGUCUUCUUACCUGAUCAUAAAUAAUAUCUUUUGGUGGUAAUAAAAUAUAAGAGCUAGUUUAGAGGUGAAGAGUCUUGGAUUUGUAACCACUUCGUUGCAGCUUUGGUUCUUGUGAGUAGCUGCUUUCUUGAAGUAGUUUACGGUUGCAAAUCCCUGUUCGUAACCUGUGUGGUGUGGAACAUCAAGCUUGAUUGAAAUAACAACACCGAAUGUGGUCUAUUGGAUAUCUGAUUCUACCUGUGGCAUGCGAUUAUGAGACACGAAUAUCACAACUUUGAUUUUAAUCAUCAUACCAAGCAAAAGCAGAAACAAAAAAAGCCAGUAGCUGAUAAUUUAGUUGAUGAUGGUAGUAGAUGGAUGGGCAUGUUAUGUUGUUUCUAAAUCAUUUGUUGGUGUUUAAUAUUUAUGAAAUUUCCUGCCUACAAAAGAUGUAAUUAACUCAUACGGGCUUUUGUCUAUUUUGCAGCAAACUCAACACAUCUGGUAUCACCUAGCCAUGUUCUUCCGAGAUGAAUUACUAUCUUGGUCCUGGAGGAGGCCACUUGGUAUCCCCUCUGUACCGGUCGCUGCGGGAAUGAUCAACCCUCUGGACUUUGAACAGAAAGUGACGACUAAUGUGGAGCACGUUAUCAGCCGGAUCAAAGGAAUAGCACCACAGGUUCUCUCGGAAGGGGUAGUGUUUCUUCUCUCUCUCUCUCUCUCUCUCUCUCUCUCUUUCUCUAAAUCUUUAUAUUUAAUCAUAGUUCAUCUAAUUGUGUAUCUAGAUGAUAUUUCCAUAAAUCUACUUGUUGCUCGAAAUAAAUGACUGAUAAGUGCAUUCAUCUGUAAUUUACGAGUUGUAUUUUGUGUAGAAGUGGGAAUGAAUAAUCCUUCCCCUCCUUUCUUACUCCUAAAAAGCACUUCAUUCUUUUGACAAAAGAUUGUUGGGUGGGCAUUUCAUAUCGGGAUUCAUAUUUUAAACAUUGUUGGUAAUAUUUAUAGGUCUUGAAGCCUGAAAUAGUAGGAGGAAACGUGUAAGAUUUGGUGGACGAAGAAGAUAUUACUAUUAUUUUUUCCCCUAGUUUUUAGUGUCACCGUAUUUUGGAUCCAACUCUCUAAGUAGCGUUAAUCCAGCUUUCAAGUUAUUCAGUCUUUUGUAUCAUUUUGACAUAGAUUUCCUUCCCUUGUAACAACACAGGAAGAGAAUGCGACGGAACCGCCACAGUCGGUACAAAGAGGCGUGACGGAACUGGUGGAAGCGGCAUUGUCCCCCAGGAACUUGUGCAUGAUGGACCCGACUUGGCACCCGUGGUUCUAGCUUUUGCCUAAUUUACUUAAAUCACCCUCUUUUCUGCUUAAGCUUUCCUCGUAAAUAUUUGUACAUAACAAGAAGCUAACAACAAACAAACGGGAUUACCGUAGUUUUAAGGGUAACGUAAUCGGGCGCCGUCCAAAAUUUUGUACAAAAGUAGGUACAAGAGGAUGAUGCUAUUUAUGUGUGUUCUAUGACGGAUGUUAAUCAAUUAUUAUUAUUAUUUAUCACAUGAUUUUGCCUGCUUCCCUGUGUUUCCUCCCCGUUUCCUCUUCCUGUGUUUAGUGCCGAAAAUUGAGGCGAAUUCGAAAUUAGUUUGUGCAGUUGUGUGUAAAAUAUGUGCUGUGUCCACGGCCUUCCUCUUGCCGCAGCAUUGUCGGUAUCCCGUACUUGAGUUCAAUUCAAUUCCAAGUAUUACUGCUGUCUCCGCACGCGGAUAAGUUUGUGCUGACUGGGCCUUCAUAUUAAAGAGUGAGGGUGUGUGUCGAGCCGUGCCAGACGUGUCAACUGUGACACGUCGUGGACACGCCGGCUUGCCCUACUUGAGGUACGUGGGAAUUCUGGAUUCGACAAUUGUCUUCUUCUUCGCAUGGUUUCAUUGGCUGACAGCUGCUACUGCUAGAAAGUUUGGGUGGUGAAUGGUGAUGUCCUCAAACAAGGGGAAUUGCUUUGCUUUCCAUCCCUACUACCUUUUCCAAGAGCCAAAGUGAGAGGAGAGAGGAAGAGUCUAAGCUCUGUGAUAAAGGAAUUGUGGUGUCCUUCUCAUUAAAGUUACUUGUUCUUAUCAGUGGGCCGCAGCGACUUUUUCUCUUUUCUUGCUUUUCCCAUUUCUUGUCUUGGAUGAAUUGGCAAUUUGAAUUUCUUUUUUUAAAAAAAGAAUAAAUUUGACAGGCCGCCUUAGUUGUUGUUUCAGUCUGCUCGAGCCUAGUUUGAUAAUGCGAUGGCUAAAAAUUUAAAAAAAAAAAAACUUAGAAAGUGCUUUUUCUUAAUGCUUCUCCGGAGAAGCAUAUGGUUACAUACUUUUCUGGUAACGAUUGCAACCAUAAUUUUAUUAUAUAAAUUUAGAAAAAAAAUUGCAUCAGAAAAGGAAUGGAAAUAAGAAUUUGAAAACGGAAGGUUUAAAAGUCCAAUUUGUUUGGUUAAGAAUCGGAAUAAUAUUCCAAUUUAAAUUUAAAAAUUAUAGAUUUUAAUUAAACUUUGGACGUAAUUAAAUUUUGAACCCAAAUUCUUCCAACUGAUAAUUUGAACUAAAAUUUUAAAUUUAUAAUUCAAAUUCAAAUUCAAAAUAAAAUUCUAAAUUUGAAAUCAAAAUUUAAAUAUCGAACUCAUAUUAGAAUUUCAAUUUAUAAACUUAAAGAAGAAAAGGCUAGGACAGAUAUGGAAUUUAACACCGUCAGAUCCCCGAUCCGUAGGAGCAGUGGAUGAUUAAUAAAGAGCCCCAUUCCAUUGCUGGAAUGCUGGUACCACCAUACCAUUUGCUGCUGCUGCUGCUGCUUCCUUGGGAUCUACAACCAUAAAGGACAGCACUACGUACUUAACCGUUGCAUGAAUGAGAUAUCAUAAUUACCGUAUACCAUAUUUUAUGUUUUAUUGCUCUGGCAGAAAAGUUUUUUUUUUUUUUUUUUUCUUUUUCGGGAGAUGUUUUCGUUGGCUGAGAGUGAAACACCCAAAGUAGUAGAAUUUUCAGAAAGUAAAACUUUAUCGCUUAUUUGGUCUGCAAAAGUAAAUAUAAAUUGCACUUUACAAAAGUGGGUUAGCAAGACAGUGGCGAGAGAGGAGAGAGGAGAGAGAAUGAACGGAGGAGGAGAAGUGAGCGGAGGAGGAGAAGAGAGCAGGUGGAAGAAAAAGAGAGGGAGGUGAUGAGGGAACGAGGAAAAGAAAAGAUAACAAAAUUUUAAAGUAAAAGAUAAAAUUUUAAAUUAAAAUUUAGGCUAAAUUACAGAAACCCUUUGUAAAUAUCGACUUUUUUAUUUUUCCUUCUUGACUUUUAAAAAUUUAUAGGAAGAAAAAGUGAAAAAAUCGGUAUUUAUAAGAGAGUAUUUUGUAAUUUAGCCUAGCUUUACGGCUGCGUCAUUAAUUCAUCAACCGUACUUUUGGGUACAUUUUUGAGGUGCCCAUGACACAACUUCGAGGGAGACAAUAUGUAAGGUGGGGAUAAUAUUGUUUGUGACAUGGUCCAAAAUACAUUUAUUGUACUUUAUAUCAUUAUUAUUGUUGUUAAAAUAUAUAGUAAUGUUACUCGUGCACUCUAUUCAUAAAUAUAAAGUUUACACCUGUAGGAUAUUUAUGACUCUUAUUAAUUUAUUUAUUUUAUCAAUUUUUUAGGCCGAAUACAGAAAAUUUUUCUAUAAAUAUUUGCUUUUUCACUUUCUUUCCUGAUUUUCAAAACUCUAUAUUUUACUCCCUCAAAAUUUUUGAUUGAUGCAUUUAGCGACCCUCCAUCAUUGUUCCGUCACUUUUUCAUCAAUUUAUUUAUAAUAUAUAUUGAAAAUGUUCUUGAAAAUAUCAGAAAUAUAUUAUUAUUUUUUUAUAGAACUAGUAACGAAUAAUUUGUACAACUUUCUAUUAACGCCAUGACCUGUUGAAAAUAAUUCUAAAAUUUUAAAGACGUAAAAUGUAGGUUUUUCAAAGUUAGGACAGAAAGUGAAAAAGCAAAUAUUUAUACGUGAGUUUUUGUAUUUUAGCCCCCUUUUUUUUUUUUUCUAUUUUACUAAAACUAAAUGGGGUUUGUUAACUCUUGGAUCACUUGCAUAUAAGAUAUACACUCAUAUACGACGAUAGGAGCAUUUUUCUAAAGGGUUAUAUAAUUAUAACCGCAUGUAUAGAGUUCAACCAGGAUACUAUUAAUAAAACAUGAAUAGUAGUUAUUACCCAGUUUUUUUUUACUUUUGGAUCAUUACUAUUGCACCAAUCACCCACUAAACUCUAGUGCUAGGAGCCGAAUUCCCUGAUCCUUAACCUGGUCAAAGAUCUCCCUCGGAAAGAGUGUAGGGAUGUGGAACGGCUAUGAACAGUGACCCUCAAAGUUUGCACCCUUUGACUGAUCAAGCGAUUCGACUGAUGAGGGAUUAGAUCAGCCCAGUUCGAAGAUCUUUACUGUAGAUUUGGUUCAGCUGAAAGAGCCGAAUGUUCGAAAAGCACAGUAUUUUAGGUUAGCUGAAGAGUCGAAUGCCUUUAUAUAUUAGAAAUAAUAUGUGAAACUAGUACAAAGGACGAGUGUGCCUGAGAGCAUACAAACUCGGUUGAUCUAACUUGAACUUACUCAUAGGAAAAACAGUAAAUGCGAAAAAAAGAGAAGAUUAUAUGUAGACUACUCCUAGAAAAACGAUAAAUGCAAAAAGUAAAAAUAUUGAAAAUGCGGUGGUUUUCUCGUUCAUGGAGAGAAAGAGCUCUAUUAUAGGCUUCGAAGUUACUAUUUAUAAUGAUGUCUUCUCAGCCCACAUUAUUGGUCGAUUGUUAGUAGUAAGGGAGUGGUGUAACCAUAGUCGUGGAAGUUACGCCCCACUUCUCAAUAUAGAGCUGCUAGAAGAAUUAGUAAAGUAAAAAAAACCGAGUUCCAUAUACAUACACUGAAUCCCAGAGUACAAAGCUACUCGCACUGGCGAGUUAAAAGUCUGUAUGUACAUGAACCCAAACUAAAACAUCUACCUGCAGUAGGGGUGCCUCUAGCUCUGCUCCUCGGGUAGGGCUCUAACUCGUGACGCCCUUGCCUAGCUCCUGACGAGCAACAGCAGCAGCCGAAGACGAAGGCUCUGCAAAAACGGGGUAACAACUGGGCGUGAGAACUACUAUAGAAACAAGUAGUCCUCAGUGGGUGCCGCCCUCAACAAUCAUCGGUCCACCCAUUAAGUCUACAGAAGGUAACAAGGCUAGCAGAAAAAGCUGGAAAGAAAUCUACAGCUACAUAUCGCUACACUAGCAUGAUCUACACUAACCAACUAUAGUAAAAGUCACAACUAACUCAAUCUCAUUAGGGACUGUGAACACACCCGUCCCGCCUGUCGGAUCGAACCCGUAUCCUACUCCAGGAAUAGCUGGUGGAGAAAACUCUUUAGGGACUAUGAAUACACCCGUCCCGCCUAAUUAGGUGACACCGUAGCUCAAGAGUAACCGGCGGAGAAAACUCUCUGGAGACUGUGAAUACACCCGUCUCGUCUACUAGAAUACGCCGUAUCUCAAGAGUAAUCGGCGGAGAAAACUCUCUAAAGACUGUGAAUACAUCCGUCUCACCUAAUUAGACUACACCGUACCUCGAGAGUAGUCGGUCCCAGAAAAGGGUCCAACAGGAUGGUUAAGACUCCACUCACGUCACAACCUCACUAAAGGUAGGGAAAAACAUCACUCACUCUCUCACCCGGGCUGCCCAAAACGGACCCACUCUGCCUGUAUCUAGCUGCGCCGUACACCACCCCGAGGGUAGCCGGCUCAAGAACUGUCCAACAGAAACUGCGACACUCAUCGCACUGAAACCUCAUUCCGGAAUGGCAUUCGCGGGCGCGACCCAACGAGUUUACAAGUAUCUCUGUCAAGUUCAUACCGCUCUCACAGGCUAAGUCAAGUAACCGACUCUAACUGGUCUAACAACCAACAGGUAAUGUGCCAUCGGCACAAUCUAACGCCGAAAAGGCGAUACGAGUCCACCGUCCACUCCGACGGCACCGAACAGUCCGGAACAACCUGAACGCUACUGUAAAAAUACACUCGGCAUCCCAGCAUGAGUGUAACUGAAAAUUAAACUACCUGGAAUACUCACUAUGAGGAUACUGCAACAGUAUAAAAUAAUACAACGACCCCUAGGCUAAAUCAGGUAGUUUCAUAUAUGUCAGGUCCCGAACGCGGGUUUUCUCCUAUGUCAAAUUCAGGUCCAACAUGUAUAAUUUAUUUAUUAAAAAUAGGCUCCAAUUUCAGUUUAGAUGAAAACAACAUUUACAAAUAUGAAACUGAGCUAAAACAAUAGUAAUGUGUAAUACUAACUAUACAUGUCGACCAACAAGACUAUACGAGUAGGAAUCCGAUGAUAAACCCACCUCAAAAGCUAAUUCAGAAUAGCGAGAAGUCGAUAGGAGAAGAAAUCUCCGUGCUCGCUCGGCCUCCAACGACACUACCACGACAUACGCACGCUCCAACGGCUCGCCGGCGCGAAGUUGACGUCGCUCCAAGCUCAAUGUGGCCUCCACGAGCUCUCCACUUCAAUCUAGAGAGAGAGAGAGGAAAUUGCAAAUCAUAAUUAUCCCUUUCUGCCUCUCAAAGCUAUAUAGGCCACAAGAUAAGAAUGCAUGGGGGUGCACGUGGCAUCCAAAGCCACCCCCAUGCAUCACCAACCGACUAUAUAUAUAUAUAAAAUAAAAAGGAUACUACAUCCUCCCCCACUAAAAAAAGUUUCGUUCCCGAAACUUAAAACAUACCUCAACACGGAGUAAUUUUUUUGCACCAACACCUAAGUAUUCAAUAGUCAAAAAAUAGAUAAUAAUUACCAUUCACACACACACACACACACACACACACACACAUAUAUAUAUAUAAAACUAGGUUGGAAUCCUAUUAAUAGCAUCAAGCUAUUGGUGUUAUUAGUUUUUUGGGAUAUUGCCUAUAUACUUCUCAUACGUUUGAAAAUAUCCGAUUUACCCAUAUUUUUUUUUUUCUUUCUAAAAUACUCCUCAUAUGUUCCACCGUUAUUGCAAAAUACCCCCGCAGUUAUCUCCUGUUAAGUUAACUUGGGUUAAACGUGAGUUAAAUAUCUACCACAGUUUAAAAAAAUUAAAAUACCAAUUUUGCCCUUAACUUAAGAGCAAAUAAGAAAUAUUGGUAACGGUAGAGGGGUAUAUUGGAAAAGACCAAAAGUUAAAAUACUUUUUGUACCCCUGACUUUAAGGGCAAAUAAGAAAAUCAGUGAUGAUGGAAGGGUAUAUUUGAAAGGGCAAAAUAGUAAUUUUAUAGAGAUAAUAGAGUUAAUUAACAGAUUUUAACUCUAGGAGUAUAUUAGAAAUAGGUUGGAACGUAGAAAGGAUAUUUUCAAUAUUAGCCUUCUAAGAGGGAUAAAUCGAAAAGUCGAAAACUUUUCAGGAAUAUAUAAGCAAUUGCCCGCAGUUUUUUAGCCUUUGGAUUGAGAAAUAUGCGGUUAGAAUGAUGUGGGCCCCCUAGGGUUGAGUGGGUGGUUGGUUGAAUAGUAUAAUCUAAUGGGUAAAAAUAAUCAAAUGGUUAAAUCUAAUGGUGGAAAAUUCGAUAGCACCAAAUCCUUAGUGCUAUCUAUAAUAUCCUAGCCGAACUCUCUCUCUCUCUCUCUCUCUCUCUCUUUCUCUCUCUCUCUCUCUCUCUCUCUAUAUAUAUAUAUAUAUAUAUAUAUAUAUAUAUAUAGNAAAAAAAUUAGGGUUUAUAUAUUUUUACCUUAGUUUCAUUAAUAAAAUUUUUCAUAUAUAUAUAUAUAUAUAUAUAUAUAUAUAUAUAUAUAUAGCUAAGCUGGUAUACUAUCGGUAGCACGGAGCCCUCCGUACUACCAAAUUGUUUUCAAUGAUGUAGCUUCCAAAUCGACGAUUGGCUCCGUUAGACUUGAUCUACACUAUUAAAAGUAUUUGAAAACUAAAUUUCAUAAUUUUUCGACAUUAUUUGGAUAGUGAUCAAAAUGUCUCAAAAUUCACAAUUUUAAUGGUCGAUGUUAUGCGUUGAUGAAUUUUUUAUAGAAUUUUUUUUUCACUAUUUAGAGUAAAAUCAGUAUCUCUGAUCUUAAAUUCAAGUCUUUUAUAUCAUUUUUUAUGAAAUUUUAUUUUUAGCCGUUCAUUUUUAGACUAUUCGUUUGAUAGGUAAAUGAUGGCUCAUUUAAUAUAUUUGACGAAAAUAAUACAAAUAACAACUAAAAAUAAAUCUGUAGUAUAUAUAUAGGUUGUUAAGCAAUCAGAAGUUGUAGGGUGAGGGAAAAAAAAAGUCAAAGUUGUUGGAUUAAAUGAGCCAGCAUCUUACCUGUGGCGUAGGUUAGAUUCGAUUGAGUCACAAUUGGAACCCGCGAGUGCUGUG
This 21453-nucleotide long non-coding RNA is filed under the name Ananas comosus (pineapple). Its description in RNAcentral is "long non-coding RNA (ACOM_LNC026524)". Lineage: Eukaryota; Viridiplantae; Streptophyta; Magnoliopsida; Poales; Bromeliaceae. The record is from RNAcentral.